CCGAGUUCAUGCCCGUACGGGUAGAUCUCCCACCCUAUGUUAUAUUACCUUUGUUGCUUUGGCAGGCCGUCAGGCCUCGGUCAGGCUACCGGCCCCAGCUGGUGAGCGCUUGUCAGAGGACCCUAAAACUCAUAUUGUUAGUGUUGUCUGAGUACUAUGUAAUCGUUA
RNAcentral lists this unclassified non-coding RNA (168 nucleotides) under uncultured Helotiales. RNAcentral's name for it is "sequence contains ITS1". Lineage: Eukaryota; Fungi; Ascomycota; Leotiomycetes; Helotiales. The record is from RNAcentral.